RNAcentral lists this ribosomal RNA (463 nucleotides) under uncultured bacterium. RNAcentral describes it as "bacterial SSU rRNA". It matches the Rfam family "Bacterial small subunit ribosomal RNA", at positions 29 to 506 of the family's 1533-position model. The record is from RNAcentral.
GUGAAUGCUAGCGAUAUGCUUAACACAUGCGAGUUUAACAGGUUUUACUAGUUUAGAAUUUGUAGCGAACGGGUGAGUAAUGCAUGAGAUACUCUUGCCUAAUAGUUUGGUAUGCGCGUUGUUUAAUAAAAUAAUUCAAAUCCCAAAUAAAGUAUAUAAAUUAAUAUUUAUAUAUAAUAAAGAUUAAUCGCUAUUAGAUAGGCUCAUGUAGGAUUAGGUAGUUGGUGAGGUAAAAGCUCACCAAGCCUACGAUCCUUAGCUGUUCUGGGAGGUUGGACAGCCACACUGGGACUGAGACACGGCCCAGACUUCGUUUGAAGGCAGCAGUGGGGAAUCUUGGACAAUGAGCGAAAGCUUGAUCCAGCAAUAUCGCAUGGGUGAUGAAUGGCGCACAGGCCGUAAAGCCCUUUCGACAAGGACGAUAAUGACGGUACUUGUAGAAGAAACCCCGGCCAAUACCCGU